RNAcentral lists this ribosomal RNA (287 nucleotides) under uncultured bacterium. RNAcentral describes it as "partial 16S ribosomal RNA". It matches the Rfam family "Bacterial small subunit ribosomal RNA", at positions 76 to 354 of the family's 1533-position model. The record is from RNAcentral.
UUUUUCGGAAGGAAGCGGGAGUGACUUAGCGGCGGACGGGUGAGUAACGCGUGGGUAACCUGCCCCAUACCGGGGGAUAACGGUUAGAAAUGACCGCUAAUACCGCUUAAGCGCGCGAGGCCGCAUGGCCCCGGGCGAAAAACUCCGGUGGUAUGGGAUGGGCCCGCGUCUGAUUAGGUAGUUGGCGGGGUAAGGGCCCACCAAGCCGACGAUCAGUAGCCGACCUGAGAGGGUGGCCGGCCACAUUGGGACUGAGACACGGCCCAAACUCCUACGGGAGGCAGCAG